This 408-nucleotide ribosomal RNA is filed under the name Triticum aestivum (bread wheat). Its description in RNAcentral is "partial small subunit ribosomal RNA". The record is from RNAcentral. Lineage: Eukaryota; Viridiplantae; Streptophyta; Magnoliopsida; Poales; Poaceae.
AUGGAAUCAUUCCCUUCGGCUCUUACCUGGGAUCGUCCUAGACGACGUCCGCUCUUCGCCAGACCACAACAGCCGACGGCGCUCGGUUUAGGCUGGCAGCGGCUUGCAUCCUCGCAUUCCACAGCGCGAGCGAGGCAACGCCCUCCGGCGCGCAGCCAGGCGUGCAGCGCGUGCGCGCUGUACUCCGGCUCUGGCGCGGCCCGGCAGAGCGUUUUGGCGAUGCACUCCCCGGCGACGGCGCUGCCGCACAUCGAGUCGCAUCGCGACGAUGGCAUCUGUUUCCUUUGGCCUUGGCCCCGCGCUGGACUGGGACACCGGAACCACCGGUUUCGCAGCCGCUCCGCGACGCGGUCGCUGCCCGCGCGGAGGCACCUGAGGCCGCGGCUCCUAGACCGUCCUCCGCGGUGA